Molecule: long non-coding RNA, 370 nt
Filed under: Homo sapiens (human)
Lineage: Eukaryota; Metazoa; Chordata; Mammalia; Primates; Hominidae
Description: HSALNT0058189
Source: RNAcentral
CUGCCCUCAGCAUCCCUUCUGGGCAGCAGACGCAGUUUGUCAACAUUCUGCUUUUAUGAGAACAGUUUGCUGUUUACUCAUAUAGCCUCCAGUGAUAUACUGAGUUGAUCACGACCCUCACUCUUUUGGCCUGCAACAGUCUCCUUCAGACUGAGGUUGACUGUGAGGUAACUGAAACCACGGAAAGCAAAACUGCCAACAAGAAUGAAUAGGGAGGACCACAAGACAUUUGUCACAUUCCACCAUAGCCUACUUCCAUAUUUGAGAGACACAGAAAGAAGACCCUCUGCAGACACAAGACGUCAGUGCUAUGAUUUUGGACUUCCCAGCCUCCAGAAACAUGAGUCAAUAAAUUUAUGUUCAUUAUAAA